RNAcentral lists this unclassified non-coding RNA (300 nucleotides) under uncultured Neoascochyta. Its description in RNAcentral is "sequence contains 5.8S rRNA gene, ITS2". The stretch from base 1 to 84 matches the Rfam family "5.8S ribosomal RNA", at positions 71 to 154 of the family's 154-position model. Lineage: Eukaryota; Fungi; Ascomycota; Dothideomycetes; Pleosporales; Didymellaceae. The record is from RNAcentral.
GUAGAAGUGACAGGUGAGUCAUCGAAUCUUUGAACGCACAUUGCGCCCCUUGGUAUUCCAUGGGGCAUGCCUGUUCGAGCGUCAUUUGUACCUUCAAGCUCUGCUUGGUGUUGGGUGUUUGUCCCGCCUUUGCGCGUGGACUCGCCUUAAAGCAAUUGGCAGCCGGCGUAUAGAUUUCGGAGCGCAGCACAAAACGCGCUUUGUUAGCAAUACGGUGGCGUCCAGUAAGACUUUUUUUAACUCUUGACCUCGGAUCAGGUAGGGAUACCCGCUGAACUUAAGCAUAUCAAUAAGCGGAGG